GUGCUCGCUCCUGCAGCACACAUACUAAAAUUGGAACGAUACAGAGAAGAUUAGUAUGGCCCCUGUGCAAGGAUGACAUCCAAAUUCACGAAGUAUUUAUAUUUUUU
Small nuclear RNA from Sorex fumeus (smoky shrew), 107 nucleotides. NCBI's taxonomy places the organism in Eukaryota, Metazoa, Chordata, Mammalia, Eulipotyphla, Soricidae. The record is from RefSeq and is a predicted model, not a curated record.